This 1159-nucleotide ribosomal RNA is filed under the name Escherichia coli. RNAcentral describes it as "partial 23S ribosomal RNA". It matches the Rfam family "Bacterial large subunit ribosomal RNA", at positions 1085 to 2228 of the family's 2925-position model. Lineage: Bacteria; Pseudomonadati; Pseudomonadota; Gammaproteobacteria; Enterobacterales; Enterobacteriaceae. The record is from RNAcentral.
CCAGACAGCCAGGAUGUUGGCUUAGAAGCAGCCAUCAUUUAAAGAAAGCGUAAUAGCUCACUGGUCGAGUCGGCCUGCGCGGAAGAUGUAACGGGGCUAAACCAUGCACCGAAGCUGCGGCAGCGACGCUUAUGCGUUGUUGGGUAGGGGAGCGUUCUGUAAGCCUGUGAAGGUGUACUGUGAGGUAUGCUGGAGGUAUCAGAAGUGCGAAUGCUGACAUAAGUAACGAUAAAGCGGGUGAAAAGCCCGCUCGCCGGAAGACCAAGGGUUCCUGUCCAACGUUAAUCGGGGCAGGGUGAGUCGACCCCUAAGGCGAGGCCGAAAGGCGUAGUCGAUGGGAAACAGGUUAAUAUUCCUGUACUUGGUGUUACUGCGAAGGGGGGACGGAGAAGGCUAUGUUGGCCGGGCGACGGUUGUCCCGGUUUAAGCGUGUAGGCUGGUUUUCCAGGCAAAUCCGGAAAAUCAAGGCUGAGGCGUGAUGACGAGGCACUACGGUGCUGAAGCAACAAAUGCCCUGCUUCCAGGAAAAGCCUCUAAGCAUCAGGUAACAUCAAAUCGUACCCCAAACCGACACAGGUGGUCAGGUAGAGAAUACCAAGGCGCUUGAGAGAACUCGGGUGAAGGAACUAGGCAAAAUGGUGCCGUAACUUCGGGAGAAGGCACGCUGAUAUGUAGGUGAAGUCCCUCGCGGAUGGAGCUGAAAUCAGUCGAAGAUACCAGCUGGCUGCAACUGUUUAUUAAAAACACAGCACUGUGCAAACACGAAAGUGGACGUAUACGGUGUGACGCCUGCCCGGUGCCGGAAGGUUAAUUGAUGGGGUCAGCGCAAGCGAAGCUCUUGAUCGAAGCCCCGGUAAACGGCGGCCGUAACUAUAACGGUCCUAAGGUAGCGAAAUUCCUUGUCGGGUAAGUUCCGACCUGCACGAAUGGCGUAAUGAUGGCCAGGCUGUCUCCACCCGAGACUCAGUGAAAUUGAACUCGCUGUGAAGAUGCAGUGUACCCGCGGCAAGACGGAAAGACCCCGUGAACCUUUACUAUAGCUUGACACUGAACAUUGAGCCUUGAUGUGUAGGAUAGGUGGGAGGCUUUGAAGUGUGGACGCCAGUCUGCAUGGAGCCGACCUUGAAAUACCACCCUUUAAUGUUUGAUGUUCUAACGU